ACUGGUUUGGCUCAGUGGAUGGAGCGUCGGCCUGCGGACUCAGGGGUCCCGGGUUCGAUUCUGGUCAGGGGCAUGUGCCUUGGUUGCGGGCGCAUCCCCAGUGGGGGUGUGCAGGAGGCAGCUGGUCGAUGUUUCUAACUCUCUAUCCCUCUCCCUUCCUCUCUGUAAAAAAUCAAUAAAAUAUAUUUUUUAAAAAAAACA
Myotis daubentonii (Daubenton's bat) is the source of this 201-nucleotide long non-coding RNA. RefSeq lists it as uncharacterized. NCBI's taxonomy places the organism in Eukaryota, Metazoa, Chordata, Mammalia, Chiroptera, Vespertilionidae. The record is from RefSeq and is a predicted model, not a curated record. The transcript is spliced from 2 exons.